AGAGUUUGAUCAUGGCUCAGAGUGAACGCUGGCGGCGUGCUUAACACAUGCAAGUCGAACGAGAACGGGUAUUAGCUUGCUAAUACUGUCAGCUAAGUGGCGCACGGGUGAGUAAUAUAUAGUUAACCUGCCCUAGAGAAGGGGAUAACGUUUGGAAACGGACGCUAACACCCUAUAUGCCUUUAAUACAUAAGUAUGCAAGGGAAACAUUUAUGGCUCUAGGAUGGGGCUGUACGGUAUCAGUUAGUUGGUGAGGUAAUGGCUCACCAAGACAAAGACACCUAACUGGUUUGAGAGGAUGAUCAGUCACACUGGAACUGAGACACGGUCCAGACUCCUACGGGAGGCAGCAGUGGGGAAUAUUGCACAAUGGACGAAAGUCUGAUGCAGCAACGCCGCGUGGAGGAUGACACAUUUCGGUGCGUAAACUCCUUUUAUAUAGGAAGAUAAUGACGGUACUAUAUGAAUAAGCACCGGCUAACUCCGUGCCAGCAGCCGCGGUAAUACGGAGGGUGCAAGCGUUACUCGGAAUCACUGGGCGUAAAGAGCGUGUAGGCGGAUUAAUAAGUUGGAAGUGAAAUCCUAUGGCUCAACCAUAGAACUGCUUUCAAAACUGUUUAUCUAGAAUAUGGGAGAGGUAGAUGGAAUUUCUGGUGUAGGGGUAAAAUCCGUAGAGAUCAGAAGGAAUACCGAUUGCGAAGGCGAUCUACUGGAACAUUAUUGACGCUGAGACGCGAAAGCGUGGGGAGCAAACAGGAUUAGAUACCCUGGUAGUCCACGCCCUAAACGAUGCACACUAGUUGUUGUGAGGCUAGACCUUGCAGUAAUGCAGUUAACACAUUAAGUGUGCCGCCUGGGGAGUACGGUCGCAAGAUUAAAACUCAAAGGAAUAGACGGGGAUCCGCACAAGCGGUG
RNAcentral lists this ribosomal RNA (915 nucleotides) under uncultured Campylobacterota bacterium. Its description in RNAcentral is "bacterial SSU rRNA". It matches the Rfam family "Bacterial small subunit ribosomal RNA", at positions 8 to 934 of the family's 1533-position model. Lineage: Bacteria; Pseudomonadati; Campylobacterota. The record is from RNAcentral.